CCUACGGGUGGCAGCAGUGAGGAAUAUUGGUCAAUGGGCGAGAGCCUGAACCAGCAAAGUCGCGUGAAGGAUGAAGGAUCUAUGGUUUGUAAACUUCUUUUAUAUGGGAAUAAAGUGAGGAGAGUGUUACUUUUUGUAUGUACCAUAUGAAUAAGAAUCGGCUAACUCCGUGCCAGCAGCCGCGGUAAUACGGAGGAUGCGAGCGGUAUCCGGAUUUAUUGGGUUUAAAGGGUGCGUAGGUGGUUAAAUAAGUCAGCGGGUAAAGUUUGUGGCUCAACCAUAAGAUUGCCGUUGAAACUGGUUGACUUGAGUAUAGUUGAGGUAGGCGGAAUGCGUGGUGUAGCGGUGAAAUGCAUAGAUAUCACGCAGAACUCCGAUUGCGAAGGCAGCUUACUAAACUAUAACUGACACUGAGGCACGAAAGCGUGGGGAUCAAACAGGAUUAGAUACCCGAGUAGUC
This 460-nucleotide ribosomal RNA is filed under the name uncultured bacterium. RNAcentral describes it as "partial 16S ribosomal RNA". It matches the Rfam family "Bacterial small subunit ribosomal RNA", at positions 338 to 795 of the family's 1533-position model. The record is from RNAcentral.